GCAGAAUGAUCACAAGAGGAAUGAGUUCAUAAAUCCUGCAUUGUCUACAAUGACAACAGUAAGAAGCCGGUAUAUCUGCCCUGGUUGCAUACUUCUAUUAAUUCCUUUAGUCGUGAGUUUACAGAACUGCACUGAAGUCAGACAGAUCAGACAGAACCCAUGAGGGACCAUCAGAUCCAUCAGGGACAGUCAACCACCAUCAACUGUCAUAACAACAAAAACAGAAAGAAACAAUCUCUUACAGUAAUGUUGAGAACAACAAACAGAGUCUGUGAAUACCGCUAUUUUAAUUAAUCCUGGACUAAAAGUUUCUGUAAUGACAACAUCAGAUUAAUAUGGAUUCCGGAAACAGAAGAAAUAUCAUUUCAGCUCAUAAAUCUUUAGAUAAAUAAUUCUGGCAUGUACACAUGUAUUGUGGAAAACUACUUCCCACCUCCUGCAAGCUGUUUGGGACAGAAGAGGAUAUUCAUUCAUGUAACAGGUACGUGUGCAGCACAAUAAUCCCUAAACUGGGAAACCUGUUAAAUUCCACAAGCCUUGAUUAUUUCACAAAUAAUAAGGCAAUGUUGUAUCUCAUUACAGGCUUAUGUGUGCUAUUUUUAUUUCUGGAUGAUUCAUAGAUAAUUUA
This is a long non-coding RNA of Clarias gariepinus (North African catfish), 628 nucleotides long. RefSeq lists it as uncharacterized. The transcript is spliced from 3 exons. The record is from RefSeq and is a predicted model, not a curated record. Lineage: Eukaryota; Metazoa; Chordata; Actinopteri; Siluriformes; Clariidae.